This 494-nucleotide ribosomal RNA is filed under the name uncultured bacterium. RNAcentral's name for it is "partial 16S ribosomal RNA". It matches the Rfam family "Bacterial small subunit ribosomal RNA", at positions 28 to 507 of the family's 1533-position model. The record is from RNAcentral.
GACGAACGCUGGCGGCGUGCUUAACACAUGCAAGUCGAACGGUGAAGCGCCUUCCUUUUUGGUGGGUGUGGAUGAGUGGCGAACGGGUGAGUAACACGUGAGUAACCUGCCCCCUUCUUCUGGAUAACCGCAUGAAAGUGUGGCUAAUACGGGAUAUUCUGGGUCUGUCGCAUGAUGGGUCUGGGAAAGAUAUUGUUUCGGUGGGGGAUGGGCUCGCGGCCUAUCAGCUUGUUGGUGGGGUGAUGGCCUACCAAGGCGGUGACGGGUAGCCGGCCUGAGAGGGUGGACGGUCACACUGGGAAUGAGACACGGCCCAGACUCCUACGGGAGGCAGCAGUGGGGAAUAUUGAACAAUGGGCGCAAGCCUGAUGCAGCGACGCCGCGUGAGGGAUGGAGGCCUUCGGGUUGUGAACCUCUUUCGCCAGUGAAGCAGGCCUGCCUCGUUUGUGGGUGGGUUGACGGUAGCUGGAUAAGAAGCGCCGGCUAACUACGUG